UCGAGAAUCUUUCACAAUGGGGGAAACCCUGAUGGAGCGACGCCGCGUGGAGGUUAAGGUCUUCGGAUUGUAAACUCCUGUCAUGCGAGAACAAAGCCCGCAAGGGUGUGAUAGUAUCGCAAGAGGAAGAGACGGCUAACUCUGUGCCAGCAGCCGCGGUAAUACAGAGGUCUCAAGCGUUGUUCGGAAUUACUGGGCGUAAAGGGUGCGCAGGCCGCGCGGGCAGUCAAAUGUGUAAUUCAGGGGCUCAACCCCUGCACUGCGCUUGAUACUUCCGCGCUAGAACCUUGGAGAGGAGUCUGGAAUUUUCGGUGUAGCAGUGAAAUGCGUGGAUAUCGAAAAGAACACUAAGGGCGUAGGCAAGACUCUGGACAAGUGUUGACGCUCAAGCACGAAGGCUAGGGUAGCGAACGGGAUUAGAUACCCCUGUAGUCC
Molecule: ribosomal RNA, 435 nt
Filed under: uncultured bacterium
Lineage: Bacteria
Description: bacterial SSU rRNA
Rfam family: Bacterial small subunit ribosomal RNA
Source: RNAcentral